This 308-nucleotide long non-coding RNA is filed under the name Trifolium pratense (red clover). Its description in RNAcentral is "long non-coding RNA (TPRA_LNC006395)". Lineage: Eukaryota; Viridiplantae; Streptophyta; Magnoliopsida; Fabales; Fabaceae. The record is from RNAcentral.
CCAUUUUCAGAAACUAAACCUAACAUUUCAACAUAUACAUACAGAUAUACUAUAUGAAGGAUUGCACAUUUUACUACAUGGGACAAAAUAAAUAUGGAUACAAUCACACAAUGACUAUUAUAUGUUGGUUUGGCAUACUUAAACCAAGCACAAUACAAGCUUCGCCAUGAUAGAUAUCAUGUCUUGUAAUAAAAUCACAAAGGUAGAAGUGCCAAGAAAUCCCAAAAACCAUAAACAAUCGUUUAUAAAUGGCCAUGGUUGGCUACUUCUAAUUUCUUAAAACCUUACUGUUUUAUUUUUAUUUCUAU